AAACCGAGUCUUAAUUGGGCGUUAAGUUGCAGGGUAUAGACCCGAAACCCGGUGAUCUAGCCAUGGGCAGGUUGAAGGUUGGGUAACACUAACUGGAGGACCGAACCGACUAAUGUUGAAAAAUUAGCGGAUGACCUGUGGCUGGGGGUGAAAGGCCAAUCAAACCGGGAGAUAGCUGGUUCUCCCCGAAAGCUAUUUAGGUAGCGCCUCGUGAAUUCAUCUCCGGGGGUAGAGCACUGUUUCGGCUAGGGGGCCAUCCCGGCUUACCAACCCGAUGCAAACUGCGAAUACCGGAGAAUGUUAUCACGGGAGACACACGGCGGGUGCUAACGUCCGUCGUGAAGAGGGAAACAACCCAGACCGCCAGCUAAGGUCCCAAAGUCAUGGUUAAGUGGGAAACGAUGUGGGAAGGCCCAGACAGCCAGGAUGUUGGCUUAGAAGCAGCCAUCAUUUAAAGAAAGCGUAAUAGCUCACUGGUCGAGUCGGCCUGCGCGGAAGAUGUAACGGGGCUAAACCAUGCACCGAAGCUGCGGCAGCGACGCUGAUGCGUUGUUGGGUAGGGGAGCGUUCUGUAAGCCUGCGAAGGUGGCCUGUGAGGGUUGCUGGAGGUAUCAGAAGUGCGAAUGCUGACAUAAGUAACGAUAAAGCGGGUGAAAAGCCCGCUCGCCGGAAGACCAAGGGUUCCUGUCCAACGUUAAUCGGGGCAGGGUGAGUCGACCCCUAAGGCGAGGCCGAAAGGCGUAGUCGAUGGGAAACGGGUUAAUAUUCCCGUACUUGGUGUUACUGCGAAGGGGGGACGGAGAAGGCUAUGUUGGCCGGGCGACGGUUGUCCCGGUUUAAGCGUGUAGGUGUGUGUUCCAGGUAAAUCCGGUUCACUUUAACACUGAGGCGUGAUGACGAGGCACUACGGUGCUGAAGCAACAAAUGCCCUGCUUCCAGGAAAAGCCUCUAAGCAUCAGGUAACAUCAAAUCGUACCCCAAACCGACACAGGUGGUCAGGUAGAGAAUACCAAGGCGCUUGAGAGAACUCGGGUGAAGGAACUAGGCAAAAUGGUGCCGUAACUUCGGGAGAAGGCACGCUGACACGUAGGUGAAGUGAUUUACUCAUGGAGCUGAAGUCAGUCGAAGAUACCAGCUGGCUGCAACUGUUUAUUAAAAACACAGCACUGUGCAAACACGAAAGUGGACGUAUACGGUGUGACGCCUGCCCGGUGCCGGAAGGUUAAUUGAUGGGGUCAGCGCAAGCGAAGCUCCUGAUCGAAGCCCCGGUAAACGGCGGCCGUAACUAUAACGGUCCUAAGGUAGCGAAAUUCCUUGUCGGGUAAGUUCCGACCUGCACGAAUGGCGUAAUGAUGGCCAGGCUGUCUCCACCCGAGACUCAGUGAAAUUGAACUCGCUGUGAAGAUGCAGUGUACCCGCGGCAAGACGGAAAGACCCCGUGAACCUUUACUAUAGCUUGACACUGAACAUUGAGCCUUGAUGUGUAGGAUAGGUGGGAGGCUUUGAAGUGUGGACGCCAGUCUGCAUGGAGCCGACCUUGAAAUACCACCCUUUAAUGUUUGAUGUUCUAACGUGGACCCGUAAUCCGGGUUGCGGACAGUGUCUGGUGGGUAGUUUGACUGGGGCGGUCUCCUCCUAAAGAGUAACGGAGGAGCACGAAGGUUGGCUAAUCCUGGUCGGACAUCAGGAGGUUAGUGCAAUGGCAUAAGCCAGCUUGACUGCGAGCGUGACGGCGCGAGCAGGUGCGAAAGCAGGUCAUAGUGAUCCGGUGGUUCUGAAUGGAAGGGCCAUCGCUCAACGGAUAAAAGGUACUCCGGGGAUAACAGGCUGAUACCGCCCAAGAGUUCAUAUCGACGGCGGUGUUUGGCACCUCGAUGUCGGCUCAUCACAUCCUGGGGCUGAAGUAGGUCCCAAGGGUAUGGCUGUUCGCCAUUUAAAGUGGUACGCGAGCUGGGUUUAGAACGUCGUGAGACAGUUCGGUCCCUAUCUGCCGUGGGCGCUGGAGAACUGAGGGGGGCUGCUCCUAGUACGAGAGGACCGGAGUGGACGCAUCACUGGUGUUCGGGUUGUCAUGCCAAUGGCACUGCCCGGUAGCUAAAUGCGGAAGAGAUAAGUGCUGAAAGCAUCUAAGCACGAAACUUGCCCCGA
This 2148-nucleotide ribosomal RNA is filed under the name Salmonella enterica subsp. enterica serovar Livingstone. Its description in RNAcentral is "partial 23S ribosomal RNA". It matches the Rfam family "Bacterial large subunit ribosomal RNA", at positions 674 to 2802 of the family's 2925-position model. The record is from RNAcentral. Lineage: Bacteria; Pseudomonadati; Pseudomonadota; Gammaproteobacteria; Enterobacterales; Enterobacteriaceae.